UUUGUGCAUCUAAAAAUGAAGAGUUGCGCGAAAGAGUUAAGAAUAUGGAAAACUUGUUAGCAAAUGUGAUGACUUUAAUUCAAAAUCGAUUUUCUGGAGCAGAUGUUAAUGAUAUAAUACAAGCUGCAAGACAGGUUCCUGAUGCUACUAGUGCUCAAAACCAUUUGAAUUCACUUAGUCCAAACAACAACGAAAAUAAU
This is a non-coding RNA of Cicer arietinum (chickpea), 200 nucleotides long. The record is from RefSeq and is a predicted model, not a curated record. Lineage: Eukaryota; Viridiplantae; Streptophyta; Magnoliopsida; Fabales; Fabaceae.